Molecule: ribosomal RNA, 292 nt
Filed under: uncultured bacterium
Lineage: Bacteria
Also listed under: 1 other name
Description: partial 16S ribosomal RNA
Source: RNAcentral
GGACUACAAGGGUAUCUAAUCCUGUUUGCUCCCCAUGCUUUCGUGCCUCAGUGUCAGUAUCUGUCCAGGAAGUCGCCUUCGCCACUGGUGUUCCUUCCGAUAUCUACGCAUUUCACCGCUACACCGGAAAUUCCACCUCCCUCUACAGUACUCGAGUCAGACAGUCUUAAGCGCAAUUCCCAGGUUAAGCCCAGGGCUUUCACACCUAACUUAUCAAACCACCUACGCACCCUUUACGCCCAGUAAUUCCGAUUAACGCUUGCACCCUCUGUAUUACCGCGGCGGCUGGCAC